UACGGAGAAUGCGAGCGUUAUCCGGAUUUAUUGGAUUUAAAGAGUACGUAGGUGGUUUGUUAAGUUUGUGGUGAAAGCGUGCAGCUCAACCGUACCAAGCCAUGAAAACUGACGAACUUAAGUACAAACGAGAUAAACGAAAUGUGAUAUGUAGCGAUGAAAUACUUAGAUAUAUCACAGAACCCCGAUUGCGAAGGCAGCUUACCAGCAUGCAACUGACACUGAGGCACGAAAGCGUGGGUAUCAAACA
Molecule: ribosomal RNA, 250 nt
Filed under: uncultured prokaryote
Description: partial 16S ribosomal RNA
Rfam family: Bacterial small subunit ribosomal RNA
Source: RNAcentral